Molecule: ribosomal RNA, 1550 nt
Filed under: Klebsiella pneumoniae
Lineage: Bacteria; Pseudomonadati; Pseudomonadota; Gammaproteobacteria; Enterobacterales; Enterobacteriaceae
Also listed under: 2 other names
Description: bacterial SSU rRNA
Rfam family: Bacterial small subunit ribosomal RNA
Source: RNAcentral
AAAUUGAAGAGUUUGAUCAUGGCUCAGAUUGAACGCUGGCGGCAGGCCUAACACAUGCAAGUCGAGCGGUAGCACAGAGAGCUUGCUCUCGGGUGACGAGCGGCGGACGGGUGAGUAAUGUCUGGGAAACUGCCUGAUGGAGGGGGAUAACUACUGGAAACGGUAGCUAAUACCGCAUAAUGUCGCAAGACCAAAGUGGGGGACCUUCGGGCCUCAUGCCAUCAGAUGUGCCCAGAUGGGAUUAGCUAGUAGGUGGGGUAACGGCUCACCUAGGCGACGAUCCCUAGCUGGUCUGAGAGGAUGACCAGCCACACUGGAACUGAGACACGGUCCAGACUCCUACGGGAGGCAGCAGUGGGGAAUAUUGCACAAUGGGCGCAAGCCUGAUGCAGCCAUGCCGCGUGUGUGAAGAAGGCCUUCGGGUUGUAAAGCACUUUCAGCGGGGAGGAAGGCGAUAAGGUUAAUAACCUUGUCGAUUGACGUUACCCGCAGAAGAAGCACCGGCUAACUCCGUGCCAGCAGCCGCGGUAAUACGGAGGGUGCAAGCGUUAAUCGGAAUUACUGGGCGUAAAGCGCACGCAGGCGGUCUGUCAAGUCGGAUGUGAAAUCCCCGGGCUCAACCUGGGAACUGCAUUCGAAACUGGCAGGCUAGAGUCUUGUAGAGGGGGGUAGAAUUCCAGGUGUAGCGGUGAAAUGCGUAGAGAUCUGGAGGAAUACCGGUGGCGAAGGCGGCCCCCUGGACAAAGACUGACGCUCAGGUGCGAAAGCGUGGGGAGCAAACAGGAUUAGAUACCCUGGUAGUCCACGCCGUAAACGAUGUCGAUUUGGAGGUUGUGCCCUUGAGGCGUGGCUUCCGGAGCUAACGCGUUAAAUCGACCGCCUGGGGAGUACGGCCGCAAGGUUAAAACUCAAAUGAAUUGACGGGGGCCCGCACAAGCGGUGGAGCAUGUGGUUUAAUUCGAUGCAACGCGAAGAACCUUACCUGGUCUUGACAUCCACAGAACUUAGCAGAGAUGCUUUGGUGCCUUCGGGAACUGUGAGACAGGUGCUGCAUGGCUGUCGUCAGCUCGUGUUGUGAAAUGUUGGGUUAAGUCCCGCAACGAGCGCAACCCUUAUCCUUUGUUGCCAGCGGUUAGGCCGGGAACUCAAAGGAGACUGCCAGUGAUAAACUGGAGGAAGGUGGGGAUGACGUCAAGUCAUCAUGGCCCUUACGACCAGGGCUACACACGUGCUACAAUGGCAUAUACAAAGAGAAGCGACCUCGCGAGAGCAAGCGGACCUCAUAAAGUAUGUCGUAGUCCGGAUUGGAGUCUGCAACUCGACUCCAUGAAGUCGGAAUCGCUAGUAAUCGUAGAUCAGAAUGCUACGGUGAAUACGUUCCCGGGCCUUGUACACACCGCCCGUCACACCAUGGGAGUGGGUUGCAAAAGAAGUAGGUAGCUUAACCUUCGGGAGGGCGCUUACCACUUUGUGAUUCAUGACUGGGGUGAAGUCGUAACAAGGUAACCGUAGGGGAACCUGCGGUUGGAUCACCUCCUUACCUUAAAGAA